RNAcentral lists this transfer RNA (90 nucleotides) under Amborella trichopoda. Its description in RNAcentral is "tRNA AMTR_s02151t00273860". Lineage: Eukaryota; Viridiplantae; Streptophyta; Magnoliopsida; Amborellales; Amborellaceae. The record is from RNAcentral.
UAAUACUUUUAGUACAUAAUAGUAGUACUAGUACUACUACUAGUAGUACAUAAUAAUAGUACUAGUAUGUGCUAAUAGUACUAGUAUUAU